Non-coding RNA from Peromyscus maniculatus bairdii (prairie deer mouse), 137 nucleotides. The record is from Ensembl. Lineage: Eukaryota; Metazoa; Chordata; Mammalia; Rodentia; Cricetidae.
AAUCUUUUGUCCACUAGGCUGUGGGGAUCUCGUUCCUCCUCAGUCAGGGAUAGAGGCCAAGAUCAGCCCUUGAGUGUCAUGGAUUACAGUCCUCAGAACUGCCAGUGGGCAGCCCUGUUUUCCUGCCUCAGACAUUC